UCUCCUGGAAACGGGUGGUAAUGCCGGAUGUUCCAGUUGAUCGCAUGGUCUUCUGGGAAAGCUUUCGCGGUAUGGGAUGGGGUCGCGUCCUAUCAGCUUGACGGCGGGGUAACGGCCCACCGUGGCUUCGACGGGUAGCCGGCCUGAGAGGGCGACCGGCCACAUUGGGACUGAGAUACGGCCCAGACUCCUACGGGAGGCAGCAGUGGGGAAUAUUGCACAAUGGGCGCAAGCCUGAUGCAGCGACGCCGCGUGAGGGAUGGAGGCCUUCGGGUUGUAAACCUCUUUUAUCGGGGAGCAAGCGUGAGUGAGUUUACCCGUUGAAUAAGCACCGGCUAACUACGUGCCAGCAGCCGCGGUAAUACGUAGGGUGCAAGCGUUAUCCGGAAUUAUUGGGCGUAAAGGGCUCGUAGGCGGUUCGUCGCGUCCGGUGUGAAAGUCCAUCGCUUAACGGUGGAUCCGCGCCGGGUACGGGCGGGCUUGAGUGCGGUAGGGGAGACUGGAAUUCCCGGUGUAACGGUGGAAUGUGUAGAUAU
RNAcentral lists this ribosomal RNA (536 nucleotides) under Bifidobacterium longum subsp. infantis. RNAcentral's name for it is "bacterial SSU rRNA". It matches the Rfam family "Bacterial small subunit ribosomal RNA", at positions 146 to 697 of the family's 1533-position model. The record is from RNAcentral. Lineage: Bacteria; Bacillati; Actinomycetota; Actinomycetes; Bifidobacteriales; Bifidobacteriaceae.